Molecule: ribosomal RNA, 247 nt
Filed under: uncultured crenarchaeote
Lineage: Archaea; Thermoproteati; Thermoproteota
Description: partial 16S ribosomal RNA
Rfam family: Archaeal small subunit ribosomal RNA
Source: RNAcentral
AGCUCUCCGAGUGGUGUGGACGUUUAUUGGGCCUAAAGCAUCCGUAGCUGGCUGAGCAAGUCCCCUGUUAAACCCACCGAUUUAAUCGUUGGCGUGCGGGGGAUACUGUUCGGCUAGGGGACGAGAGAGGCAGGCGGUAUUCCCGGGGUAGGGGUGAAAUCCUAUAAUCCCGAGAAGACCACCAGUGGCGAAGGCUGCCUGCUAGAACGCGCCCGACGGUGAGGGAUGAAAGCUGGGGGAGCGAACC